Molecule: ribosomal RNA, 301 nt
Filed under: uncultured bacterium
Lineage: Bacteria
Description: partial 16S ribosomal RNA
Rfam family: Bacterial small subunit ribosomal RNA
Source: RNAcentral
CAGCAGCCACGGGAAUACGAAGGGGGCUAGCGUUGCUCGGAAUUACUGGGCGUAAAGGGAGCGUAGGCGGACUGUUUAGUCAGAGGUGAAAGCCCAGGGCUCAACCUUGGAAUUACCUUUGAUACUGGCAGUCUUGAGUACGGAAGAGGUAUGUGGAACUCCGAGUGUAGAGGUGAAAUUCGUAGAUAUUCGGAAGAACACCAGUGGCGAAGGCGACAUACUGGUCCGUUACUGACGCUGAGGCUCGAAAGCGUGGGGAGCAAACAGGAUUAGAUACCCCCGUAGUCCCUGUCUCUUAUAC